Molecule: small nucleolar RNA, 105 nt
Organism: Ictidomys tridecemlineatus (thirteen-lined ground squirrel)
Lineage: Eukaryota; Metazoa; Chordata; Mammalia; Rodentia; Sciuridae
Source: Ensembl
GAAAUGGGUCACUCAAUAGUUCCCCAUGCCAGAGCAAACUGUGGCCUUGAAUCAUUGCCUGGCCUCUGCCUGUAUUCUACAGGCACUGAAAUGGGUUGCAUAGUG